Molecule: small nuclear RNA, 22 nt
Filed under: Arabidopsis thaliana (thale cress)
Lineage: Eukaryota; Viridiplantae; Streptophyta; Magnoliopsida; Brassicales; Brassicaceae
Description: snRNA_06932
Source: RNAcentral
UCAUCGUAAACAGUUGUCUCUG